AGCGAACGCUGGCGGCAGGCCUAACACAUGCAAGUCGAACGAACCUUUCGGGGUUAGUGGCGGACGGGUGAGUAACACGUGGGAACGUGCCUUUAGGUUCGGAAUAACUCAGGGAAACUUGUGCUAAUACCGAAUGUGCCCUUCGGGGGAAAGAUUUAUCGCCUUUAGAGCGGCCCGCGUCUGAUUAGCUAGUUGGUUGAGGUAAUGGCUCACCAAGGCGACGAUCGGUAGCUGGUCUGAGAGGAUGAUCAGCCACUUUGGGACUGAGACACGGCCCAAACUCCUACGGGAGGCAGCAGUGGGGAAUCUUGCGCAAUGGGCGAAAGCCUGACGCAGCCAUGCCGCGUGAAUGAUGAAGGUCUUAGGAUUGUAAAAUUCUUUCACCGGGGACGAUAAUGACGGUACCCGGAGAAGAAGCCCCGGCUAACUUCGUG
RNAcentral lists this ribosomal RNA (434 nucleotides) under uncultured bacterium. RNAcentral's name for it is "partial 16S ribosomal RNA". It matches the Rfam family "Bacterial small subunit ribosomal RNA", at positions 29 to 507 of the family's 1533-position model. The record is from RNAcentral.